Molecule: unclassified non-coding RNA, 299 nt
Filed under: Hevea brasiliensis (rubber tree)
Lineage: Eukaryota; Viridiplantae; Streptophyta; Magnoliopsida; Malpighiales; Euphorbiaceae
Source: RNAcentral
GUCAUUAUAAAGUAUGGAUAAACAAUGGGUUUGAAGAUGAAAGCAACAAGAAAUGCUAUUUUAGACAAGGACAAUAAGAUCUAUUAAACAACCAGAAAUCCUACAACAAGAACACAACAAAACUAUCAAGCUACAACAGCAGAGGUUCCAUGGUCAUUGUAAUGUACAUUACAAGAUGGCCAAAAAGCUCACAAACUUCCAAAAAGAAUGCUGCAUGUUAAUCUCAGAAUCCAACAGCCACAUUCUUGCAGCAAUCUUUGGAAUCUGUACAGAGCUAGAGGCCAUAAUUGUUGGUCCAA